GGAGGGAUCAUUACAAGUGACCCCGGUCUAACCACCGGGAUGUUCAUAACCCUUUGUUGUCCGACUCUGUUGCCUCCGGGGCGACCCUGCCUUCGGGCGGGGGCUCCGGGUGGACACUUCAAACUCUUGCGUAACUUUGCAGUCUGAGUAAACUUAAUUAAUAAAUUAAAACUUCUAACAACGGAUCUCUUGGUUCUGGCAUCGAUGAAGAACGCAGCGAAAUGCGAUAAGUAAUGUGAAUUGCAGAAUUCGGUGAAUCAUCGAAUCUUUGAACGCACAUUGCGCCCCCUGGUAUUCCGGGGGGCAUGCCUGUUCGAGCGUCAUUUCACCACUCAAGCCUCGCUUGGUAUUGGGCAACGCGGUCCGCCGCGUGCCUCAAAUCGACCGGCUGGGUCUUCUGUCCCCUAAGCGUUGUGGAAACUAUUCGCUAAAGGGUGUUCGGGAGGCUACGCCGUAAAACAACCCCAUUUCUAAGGUUGACCUCGGAUCAGGUAGGGAU
This 499-nucleotide ribosomal RNA is filed under the name uncultured Cladosporium. RNAcentral's name for it is "eukaryotic LSU rRNA". The stretch from base 170 to 323 matches the Rfam family "5.8S ribosomal RNA". The record is from RNAcentral. Lineage: Eukaryota; Fungi; Ascomycota; Dothideomycetes; Cladosporiales; Cladosporiaceae.